Molecule: ribosomal RNA, 390 nt
Filed under: Triticum aestivum (bread wheat)
Lineage: Eukaryota; Viridiplantae; Streptophyta; Magnoliopsida; Poales; Poaceae
Description: partial small subunit ribosomal RNA
Source: RNAcentral
AUGAACCAGCCUGACCAGAUAGCAGCACCAAGAGAAGAGAGAUUGCUGCACAGUGAUGCCCAUAGGCAGCACCACUGGACUCCAAGAGCCAUUGCCAGCCGAGCACGACAACCCAGAUCAAACAUGAGGACACUGGAUACACCAGCGAUGCCUUCAAGAAGGGAAUGGACACACACGAGCGCCCUCAUGGCUGAGCUUUCGCUCGAUCCAUGUAUAGCGCAAGCAACCAAGAGAGCGAGGAGCCGAAGCCUGCUCGGAGUAGUAUCUCCACAGCGACACCUUCAACAAGAACGUAGUGCCAGUCACUCUCGAGCAACUCUGGAGGCACAGACGCCGCCACCCAAAAACUUCUGCCCACCACCAAAUCCCUCCUCUGCUGGAGAAGGCUGA